RNAcentral lists this ribosomal RNA (460 nucleotides) under uncultured bacterium. RNAcentral describes it as "partial 16S ribosomal RNA". It matches the Rfam family "Bacterial small subunit ribosomal RNA", at positions 338 to 795 of the family's 1533-position model. The record is from RNAcentral.
CCUACGGGAGGCAGCAGUGAGGAAUAUUGGGCAAUGGGCUCAAGCCUGAACCAGCCAAUUAGCGUGAAGGAUGACUGCCCUACGGGUUGUAACCUUCUUUUAUAAAGGAAUAAAGUGAGGCACGUGUGCCUUUUUGUCUGUACUUUAUGCAUAAGGAUCGGCUCACUCCGUUCCAGCAGCCGCGGUAAUACGGAGGAUCCGAGCGUUAUCCGGAUUUAUUGUGUUUAAAGGGAGCGUAGAUGGGUUGUUAAGUUAGUUGUUAAAGUUUGUGGCUCAACCGUAAAAUUACAAUUGAUACUGGCAGCCUUGAGUACAGUGGAGGUAGGCGGAAUUCGUGGUGUAGCGGUGAAAUGCUUAGAUAUCACGAAGAACUCCGAUUGCGAAGGCAGCCUACUAAACUGCCACUGACAUUGAUGCACGAAAGUGUGGGGAUCAAACAGGAUUAGAUACCCGUGUAGUC